GACGAACGCUGGCGGCGUGCUUAACACAUGCAAGUCGAACGGAAAGGCCCUGCUUUUGUGGGGUGCUCGAGUGGCGAACGGGGGAGUAACACGUGAGUAACCUGCCCUUGACUUUGGGAUAACUUCAGGAAACUGGGGCUAAUACCGGAUAGGAGCUCCUGCUGCAUGGUGGGGGUUGGAAAGUUUCGGCGGUUGGGGAUGGACUCGCGGCUUAUGAGCUUGUUGGUGGGGUAGUGGCUUACCAAGGCUGUGACGGGUAGGCGGCCUGAGAGGGUGACCGGCCACAUUGGGACUGAGAUACGGCCCAGACUCCUACGGGAGGCAGCAGUGGGGAAUAUUGCACAAUGGGCGGAAGCCUGAUGCAGCAACGCCGCGUGCGGGAUGACGGCCUUCGGGUUGUAAACCGCUUUCGCCUGUGACGAAGCGUGAGUGACGGUAAUGGGUAAAGAAGCACCGGCUAACUACGUG
Molecule: ribosomal RNA, 468 nt
Filed under: uncultured bacterium
Lineage: Bacteria
Description: partial 16S ribosomal RNA
Rfam family: Bacterial small subunit ribosomal RNA
Source: RNAcentral